AAGAAAUCCCACCCCGAACCCCACGUUCUCCCACCUCUCCAUCGCUCUCUCCGUGAUCCCCGCCGCCGCCAUCCCCGCCCCCGAAUCGCCAUCUACCUCUAUCCACCCCGCGCGCCGGCGCCGCCGCGACCCUCGCACCUCCCCACGCGCCACCGCCGCUCUACCUCUCCCCCACCCGAGUCUGGCUUCCUACCGCCGCCACGCGGAUCUAGCCGCCGCACAGGAUCCCACCGCCGCGUUCGUCGCUUGCUGGGCCCGACGACGCGUCGAAAGCCGACCCGUCUGUGAUCUCCGGCCAACGAGGCGCGACGGCCACCCCUCCCCCUGUUUCCACGGCGCUCGACCCGGUUGCCCGUCGCCGGCGCUCCUCCUCCCCGACCCCUUCUUCCCUGAUCCACCCCGCCUCCACCUCCGGUGACGCGGUCCACUAGCCUCCUUCCCCGGCGUGAGCCACCAGCCCGACCCUCGCCGGCGUGAUGCCCCUGCGCGCCGCCGUGGCACAGGCCCCCACAAGGGAUCCAGCCGCGACGUACUGCUCAAAAGCGAAGGACAACGACGAGAUUCUCUCCUUCGGCGCCAGCGUCGUCGCUCUCGGCUACCUACUGCGUCAAGGACAUUCAUAGGCCACGAAUCCAGCGGGUGCUAGCACGUCGGAAGUGGUGCUGCCACAGUGAGUUACUCCAUCAGAUUCAACAAAAAUAUUGGCAGCAGUUCCACCGAUACAUGCCUGGAAGGAAAACUUCGUAUGAGCACAAGUCCCACCACCCCUACAGCGAGUCUCCGGCUUCUCAGGGAGUCGACGAGGUCACCUGGGCUCCUGCGAGAAGGAUGACAGGGUCAGCAAGAACGCAGAUAUCAUCAAGAUGGCCAGGAUUGGAGCGGCUUGAUCUGGCUCACUCCAGCGGAUCCUCUCCUCUGUCGCUCUUGCCGGCCAAGCCAAGCUGGACAUGGAUGUGUGGGUGUGCAUGCUCACUUUGAAGUCCGUUCUGGGCGACUCAAUGUGUGUGCUCACUGUGUGGGUCGCCAUCUCUCGAUCCUGCCAAGCUACACCAGCACUUGUUGUUUCCUCUCCCUGCUACAAUCAGUGUUGUGAGCAACGUACAAGAUGGAGGCAUGGAGCUGGCGUCUGGAUAUGGGAAGGGAGCUGCUACUGCACUUGGCCUGCUCAACAGCUGCCGUUGUGCCUGUACUUGGACGGCUGCAGAUAGUGCAACCGAACGUCCGUGUGUGUUUUUGGAAUCCCAUUUUUAUAGUUGAUGCUAAUGAACAUUCGUCCACGUUCUUUUGUAGUGUUGGUAUUUACUGGAAACAAUCAUUGGUUUUCAAUUGGUCAUUUCUUGUACUAGAACAUCAGGUGUUUGUGCUAAUGUCCGUGAGACAAAAUCUAUGAAACAAUAUGCGGAGUAGUACUAAA
Non-coding RNA from Aegilops tauschii subsp. strangulata, 1414 nucleotides. Lineage: Eukaryota; Viridiplantae; Streptophyta; Magnoliopsida; Poales; Poaceae. The record is from RefSeq and is a predicted model, not a curated record.